Long non-coding RNA from Phyllostomus discolor (pale spear-nosed bat), 789 nucleotides. RefSeq lists it as uncharacterized. NCBI's taxonomy places the organism in Eukaryota, Metazoa, Chordata, Mammalia, Chiroptera, Phyllostomidae. The transcript has 2 exons. The record is from RefSeq and is a predicted model, not a curated record.
GCUUUCUCGGGGCUCCCUGUGCCCAUCUGUCUUCUGAAAAACGCCGCGGCGAGGCUCCCUUCUGCCCAGCGCCUGCCGUCGGGUUCCCUUUCUUCAUUAAGCAGGACCGGCGCGGGCAGAGGGAAUGUAUGAUUUAAGGAAGAAAGAGAGGCCCACUACUUAAUGUUGAUUUGGCGGAGUGUAUAACCCCGGAGAGAAAUGUAAAUAGCAGCCUGCAAUAACAUGACAGCCCACUAAUCAUAUUUACAAACGAUAUUAAAUCUGUCUGCACGCAGGCCUGCCUGCGGAUUGGCCCGGCCGUAAUUGUCAUUGUAACCAGCGCCGGCUUAUGGGAGGAUUUAACUGCAGUGAUAUAAGAGCAGGAAUGGAGGAAUGGGAGCGUUAAAUCGUGCCGUGCUCAACCUGGAGGGACGACUCCGGGGACGAAUGGCAGCAGGCCCCCGGCCCGGACUUGUUGCCUCAGGAGCUGGGGCCCAUCAGUCGUAGGGCCCGGAGCCCUGGCCUGGCCAAAGAAGAUCGCUCUGCCCACCUCUCAGAGCUGGACAGUACGCAGACAGUCUUUUCUGUGGCUCCGACUGCCUUUCAAAGAGGAGUGGACGCAGGACUGCCAUCGGAAAGAGGAGGGCCUGAGUUAGGGUGGGGUGCUUGCAGGAGUGCCCGUCAGGGCCACACUUGGGGCUCCUCUGGCCGUGGGAGCCGAGCCAAGCCUGUGAAGGCUGCACCCAGAGAGCCCGCAGAGACUCAGCACAAAAGGUCUUGGAAGAAGUUUAAUAAAAGCUGCUUUAUUUC